ACAAAACUUCCACUGUAGCAAUGAUUGACAGGAAAGUUGCCCUACACGGACGUGACGAUUAGCACAGGCCCCGGGACCCGGAAGAUGUUCUCAGGUUAGGAACCAUAGAGAGAGAGAGAAAGAGAGAGAGAGAGCUGGGAGCUACUAGGUCAAGUAAGUCACAGCACAGAACAUGACGACAGGGAUCGACAGUGGAAGUGCAGCGAUGAUAAAAGGCGUGAAAGCAUGCCUUUGUGAUGCUAUAAUAAAUGGUAACCAUGAGCUCACGUUAUGCAAAACUGUAAACAAGGCCUCCCCUUAAGUAUGGGCACGUGAACAAUUUCACAUACAUGGAAAAACCUCUCAUAUAAUGCAGAGGUGACACCUAAACUGAGCACAAAAUACUUUAUAAGAAACUUUGUCGUUUUGGAGCAACCACAGACUAUAAUUUAGUCAAAAUGAGUUUGGCCACAUGCGGACAACCAUACAGAUGUCAUAUUUUUGGAUUCUCACCCCAUAAACUGCAGACACAGGCAGUAAAACUGGCAAAUAUAGGAGUACUCAGAAAGGGUUCUGUCUGUUUCAAAUGCAAAUUAUUUCAGACAUGUGGUCUUCAAGUAAACGGACCCCAUUGCCCUGCCUGCUGCCCUGGCAAUUAGAAAAAAUAACUAGCUAAGCUAGUAGGAUGGGAAAACGUCCAUUUGAGCAACAUAAAACAAAAAAAGACCAUGACUGGAUGAGACCAGCAAAUAGUGCUGAGACACUAAUGAUUACAAAUGAUGCCACAUCUCAACAACUAAAGAAAACCACACAGCCACAUAUGAUACAGGUUGGGGGGAGUCGAGCAUGCUCGUCUUUUGUUAAAGCCAAUCAAUAUGUAUCCUCAGCAGACGUGAUAUCCGAUCCUGUAAAACACUGAGAAACUGCCCCCCCAUCUGUUUAACUCUGCAUGGCUCUCUUUUCUAGAGCGGUUUCUCUGCCUCUCAUUUCUCAGUUUGCCGCCAUUCCGGUGGAGCAUUAAUAAACCCUACUGGCUUUCUGUGUGGCUCAGUAAACGUCAUGUCUAUCAUGAGGAAGGCUACCAGGAAAUCGUGUCCCUAGGGUGGCUUCGCGUAGUGAUUUGCCCGUAACAUAAUCAGAGUUGGCAAGUCCUAUAAUUUAUGCAGAUGAUAUAUCAUUAGCAAUUUGCAACGGUCGUGUAUAAGCAGCAGUUUCGGUUUGUACAUUAUUUGCUUAGUCUUGAGCAGUAUUUUUGAUUCACUGCCUAAAACACAAAAUGGUCUUUGGAGAUGAAACAAACACAUCUGGGUCUUGAGCGGUGUACAAAUUGACUAUGGGCCCUCGUUACUGUAACAGAAGUGAAAGAGAAACGGCGUGUCCCUCAAAUAAAGCUCAUCUGCGCAAAAAAGUGACAAAGCAAAAGGGGAGGAGGAGCAGGAGGGUGGAGGAUUGGGUUGAGCUGGACGGAUUAAAUAUAGAAAGAGGAAAUGGCAUUUUUAAAAGCUGCCCUUCCUGCGCCCACAAGUUUCAGUGAUGCGUGGAUGUCAAGAUCACGCCUCUCCCACGCAGCUCAUCGUCCCCGACGCUCACAGUGGACUGCUUCAUAUCUGCUCUCAAGUGGUGGUGCAACUGAAAGGAAUGUGCUUGAGGAUGUGAUGAGAUGAACACUUUCUGUAAAGUGAUGGGAGGGGGAUCAAAUGUAUUCAUUAUCAAGCCUUUUUGCCUAAGUUCCUCUUUCUGCAGCUGCUGUGCUGCAUCCUGUGUGAAGCUGCAGCAGGUACAACAAGCACCGCAGUGGCACUAUGCAUGACCUGGCGCCAUGCCUUAUCUACACAUCUCAGGAACCUGUGAGUAUGUUCAUUCGGGCUGUUGAGUUGGAUCGGCUGGUGCUUUCAGUGCUGGCUGCACAAACACAGACACGGCAAAGAGUCAACAGGUGGAAGCUCAGUGUGAGUGUGUUUAAACACGGAGGACCAGGCCGCAGAAUGUAUCAACACAGUCUCCGUCCCCCUCUCGCUCUCACACACAACCUGGCAAAAGGGGUGCCCCUUCUCAUCAGGGAGCAUACGCAAAGCCAGCCCAGUCCAAGUAAUUGCUCCCCACCGGGACAAACAACUCCAUUCAGCCCAAGUGUCGGUUAACAGUUUGUUCUCCCUCCUCCGCUGCGCGCCCCCGCUGCCCAAUCUGCAUGGUGCCACGCUGCAUUAGUGGCCUGUCAACAGAGUAUCACCUGACGCAUCAACGCCUCGUCAGCCACCCUUCACAUCCAAUGCAUAUAUACAAACGCCAUGCGCUGUGUCCCGCCUGUUUAUGCGUUAGCGGCAAUGCUUGUGAGCGCAAUGUGAUAAAUACAGGGAGGCAAAGAGUUCAAAUAGAGAACAACGCGAUGGAAGCGAGAUCAAGAGGAGACCAAGAGGAGAGAGGCAUCUCGUCUUUUCAGUUCACGGCUCUAUCCAAGUCGUGACUAUCUGCCAACUAAGACAAUCUUAUAAAAGCCUAUCGAAUGUGUACUCGAGUGCCACUUAUUUUAUCUUGGGACUUGUUCUUGGAUAUCAGGCGAGACAGCUCAUCAAUCACACCACAAUCAAGU
Molecule: long non-coding RNA, 2569 nt
Organism: Gasterosteus aculeatus aculeatus (three-spined stickleback)
Lineage: Eukaryota; Metazoa; Chordata; Actinopteri; Perciformes; Gasterosteidae
Source: Ensembl